This 116-nucleotide ribozyme is filed under the name Aedes aegypti (yellow fever mosquito). RNAcentral describes it as "drz-agam-1 ribozyme". It matches the Rfam family "drz-agam-1 ribozyme". Lineage: Eukaryota; Metazoa; Arthropoda; Insecta; Diptera; Culicidae. The record is from Rfam by way of RNAcentral.
UACCCAGCAAGUCCUAUCCCUACCUCCUCGUGAUACUGGCCGGGGUACGAUCAACCUUAGGGAAGAUCGGGAAGCCAACCCCGGUGGGAACUCUGGUCGUAUGCUGACAGGGAAGG